This 253-nucleotide ribosomal RNA is filed under the name uncultured bacterium. RNAcentral's name for it is "partial 16S ribosomal RNA". It matches the Rfam family "Bacterial small subunit ribosomal RNA", at positions 524 to 776 of the family's 1533-position model. The record is from RNAcentral.
UACGGAGGGGGCUAGCGUUGUUCGGAAUUACUGGGCGUAAAGGGCUCGUAGGCGGCCAACUAAGUCAGACGUGAAAUCCCUCGGCUUAACCGGGGAACUGCGUCUGAUACUGGAUGGCUCGAGUUUGGGAGAGGGAUGCGGAAUUCCAGGUGUAGCGGUGAAAUGCGUAGAUAUCUGGAGGAACACCGGUGGCGAAGGCGGCAUCCUGGACCAACACUGACGCUGAUGAGCGAAAGCCAGGGGAGCAAACGGG